This 995-nucleotide long non-coding RNA is filed under the name Mus musculus (house mouse). RNAcentral describes it as "long non-coding RNA chr1:60777288-60778283". The record is from RNAcentral. Lineage: Eukaryota; Metazoa; Chordata; Mammalia; Rodentia; Muridae.
GGAGGGAAGAAGAGAGAGAGAUGAACAAAAGGUUUAUUUAUGAAGUUUACAUUUGAUUUCCUUUCCCUUGAUAACUUCCUCAUCUGAGUUUAGUGUCUAGACUAAAUUGAUGUACAUUUGGUGACUGAGGAAGAGGGUCAGAAAGGUGGGUUUGAAUUAGCAUCAGCAAAGUUAGCCAGAUUCAUACAGACUUUUUUUUUCAAUUUCUUAUGCACACACUGAGCAUUCGAUACGUUGGCAUCCAAAGUGAGGGUUUUUGCUAACGUCUGGGAACCAGUGAUAUAGAUGAUAUGAAGCAAGACUAGCUGGAGGUUGUCAUGGGGAUGCUUUUUCAUUCCAAACAGGGUGCAACUCAUGUUUCAUUUGCUUUGUGCCUCUCUGUCCUGUCUUCUUCUUCAUUCAUCCAACAACAUUUUGAUGACCGUCUUCCCAGCUCUGAAAAGCGGACUGGGUACAGGAGAAACGAUAGAGCAACGCUGUUGUCCUUAUCUCUGCGUGGACCAAUCAGAGUGUAUUUUACAACCCUUCACCUCCUUCUAUUCACCUUAAGGCACCUACUUAGUCCUGACUGUAGAACUUAGACAUUGUGUAUCUACUGUUACUCUGGUGACUGUAUAGUUUCUUGUAGCUACUGCAGUCUGUCACUGUAGACAAACAACUGAGAUUAGCUGUAUUUCAGCAAGCUUUUACUUAUGGAUAUUGGUAUUUGAUUCUCCUUUAAUUUUCUUGCCAGAUAUUGUGAUUCCUCUGAUUGCUGCACCAUCACCCUAGCCGUAUGUACACAUACAAUCCAUUCUUCAGCUCAUGGCCUGUGCAGUGUCAGACAGUGGCUAGACUUGGCCUGUAGGCCGCAGUUUGCUGACCUCUGAGACAGAACCAAGGCACCACUUUUAAGCUUUGAGCUUGUCUUUGAACGCCAGACACCAUCUAGAAGGGAUCAGUCUGGGUGCAUGUAAAGACCUCUUGGGAGUGUGAGUGUCCAAGUAACUUUAUUU